This 71-nucleotide transfer RNA is filed under the name Verrucomicrobiota bacterium. Its description in RNAcentral is "tRNA-Gly". It matches the Rfam family "tRNA". Rfam says of the family: Transfer RNA (tRNA) molecules are approximately 80 nucleotides in length. Their secondary structure includes four short double-helical elements and three loops (D, anti-codon, and T loops). RNAcentral also lists the same sequence under 3 other names. Lineage: Bacteria; Pseudomonadati; Verrucomicrobiota. The record is from RNAcentral.
GCGGGUAUAGCAUAAUGGUAAUGCCCUAGCCUUCCAAGCUAGUCAUGCGAGUUCGAUUCUCGCUACCCGCU